CCUACGGGUGGCAGCAGUAGGGAAUCUUCGGCAAUGGACGAAAGUCUGACCGAGCAACGCCGCGUGAGUGAAGAAGGUUUUCGGAUCGUAAAACUCUGUUGGUAGAGAAGAACGUUGGUGAGAGUGGAAAGCUCAUCAAGUGACGGUAACUACCCAGAAAGGGACGGCUAACUACGUGCCAGCAGCCGCGGUAAUACGUAGGUCCCGAGCGUUGUCCGGAUUUAUUGGACGUAAAGCGAGCGCAGGUGGUCCUGCAAGUCUGGAGUGAAACGCAUGAGCUCAACUCAUGCAUGGCUUUGGAAACUGGAGGACUGGAGAGCAGGAGAGGGCGGUGGAACUCCAUGUGUAGCGGUAAAAUGCGUAGAUAUAUGGAAGAACACCAGUGGCGAAGGCGGCCGCCUGGCCUGUUGCUGACGCUGAGGCACGAAAGCGUGGGGAGCAAAUAGGAUUAGAUACCCCAGUAGUC
Molecule: ribosomal RNA, 466 nt
Filed under: uncultured bacterium
Lineage: Bacteria
Description: partial 16S ribosomal RNA
Rfam family: Bacterial small subunit ribosomal RNA
Source: RNAcentral